UGUCCCUCCAUCUGUCCGGUUGUGCAGGAGUCUGUCUGUCCAGUUGUCCUGGUGUACGUCCUGGUGUCCCUCCAUCUGUCUGGUGGUCCAGGUGUCUGUCUGUCUGUCCAGUUGUCCUGGUGUCUCUCUGGUUGUCUGGGUCUCUGGCUGGUUGUCCUGGUGUCUGUCCUGGUGUCCCUCCAUCUGUCCGGUGGUCCAGGUGUCCGUUUCUCCGGUUGUCCUGGUGUCUGUCCAGUGGUCCAGGUGUCCAUCUCUCCGGUUGUCCAGGUGUCUGUACGGUUGUCCGGGAGAGUCUCUGUCCGGUUGUCCAGGUCUCUGUCCGGUUGUCCUGGUAUCUGUCCUGGUGUCCCUCCAUCUGUCCAGUUGUCCAGGAGUCUGUCUGUCCAGUUGUCCUGGUGUCUGUCCUGGUGUCCUUCCAUCUGUCCGGUGGUCCAGGUGUCCAUCUCUCUGGUUGUCCAGAUCUCUGUCUGGUUGUCCAGGAGUCUGUCUGUCCAGUUGUUCAGGUCUCUGUCCUGCUGCCUGUCCAGUUGUCCGUCUGUCUGUUUUUCGGGUCUCUGUCCAGUUGUCCUGGUGUCUGUCCUGGUGUCCCUCCAUCUGUCCGGUUGUCCAGGUGUCCAUCUCUCCAGUUGUCCCGGUGUCUUUCCGGUUGUCCUGGUGUCUGUCCUGGUGUCCCUCCAUCUGUCCGGUUGUCCAGGUGUCCAUCUCUCCGGUUGUCCAGAUCUCUGUCUGGUUGUCUGUCUGUCCAGUUGUUCAGGUCUCUGUCCUGCUGCCUGUCCAGUUGUCUGUCUGUCUGGUUGUCCGGGUCUCUGUCCAGUUGUCUUGCUGUAUGUCCUGGUAUCCCUCCAUCUGUCUGGUGGUCCAGGUGUCCAUCUCUCCAGUUGUCCUGGUGUCUGUCCAGUUGUUCGGGUCUCUGUCUGGUUGUCAAAGACUCCGUCUGUCCGGUUGUUCAGGUGUCUGUCCUGGUGUCUGUCCAGUUGUCCGUCUGUCUGGUUGUUCAAGUGUCUGUCCGGUUGUCCGGGUCUCUGUCUGGUUGUCCUGGUGUAUGUCCUGGUGUCCCUCCAUCUGUCUGGUUGUUCAGGAGUCUGUCUGUCUGGUUGUCCUGGUGUAUGUCCUGGUGUCCCUCCAUCUGUCUGGUUGUCCAGGAGUCUGUCUGUCUGGUUGUCCUGGUGUCUUUCCGGUUUUCCACAUCUCUGUCCGGUUGUCCAAGAGUCUGUCUGUCCAGUUGUCCUGGUAUCUGUCCAGGUGUCCAUCUGUCCGGUUGUCCAGGUGUCCAUCUGUCCAGGUAUCUGGGGGUCCAGCUGUCCAGGUGUCUUUCUGUCCUGGUGUCCAGUUGUCCGUCUGCCCUGUUCAUCCAUCCGGGGCUCCAUCCACCCAGGGGGAUGUUCAUCUGGGUGUCCGUCUGUCCAUCUGUCCAGCUGUCUGUCCACCCACCUGAGUGUCCCUCUGUCUGCCCAGGGGUCUGUCCAUCUGUCCAAGAGUCCUUCUUGGUGUCUGUCCAUCUGGACAUCCAUCUAGAUGUCCACCUGGAUGUCCAUCCAUGUGUCUGUCCAUCCCUCUUGAUGGACGUCCAUCCACCCAGGUGUCCCUCUAGGUGUCCGUCCAUCUGGACGUCCAUCUGGGUGUCCACCUGGAUGUCCAUCCAUGUGUCUGUCCAUCCCUCUUGAUGGACGUCCAUCCACCCAGGUGUCCCUCUAGGUGUCCGUCCAUCUGUCCAAGUGUCCUUCUAGGUGUCCAUCCAUCUGGAUGUCCAUCUAGAUGUCCACCUGGGUGUUUGUCCAGGUGUCUGUCCAUCCCUCUGGACGUUCAUCCACCUGGUUGCCCGUCCAUCCGUGUGGAUGGACAUCCAUCCCU
This 1851-nucleotide long non-coding RNA is filed under the name Calidris pygmaea (Spoon-billed sandpiper). Its description in RNAcentral is "lncRNA (ENSCPGG00000009761.1)". Lineage: Eukaryota; Metazoa; Chordata; Aves; Charadriiformes; Scolopacidae. The record is from RNAcentral.